This 253-nucleotide ribosomal RNA is filed under the name uncultured bacterium. Its description in RNAcentral is "partial 16S ribosomal RNA". It matches the Rfam family "Bacterial small subunit ribosomal RNA", at positions 524 to 776 of the family's 1533-position model. The record is from RNAcentral.
UACGAAGGUGGCAAGCGUUGUUCGGAUUUACUGGGCGUACAGGGAGCGUAGGCGGUUGGGUAAGCCCUCCGUGAAAUCUCCGGGCCUAACCCGGAAAGUGCGGAGGGGACUGCUCGGCUAGAGGAUGGGAGAGGAGCGCGGAAUUCCCGGUGUAGCGGUGAAAUGCGUAGAGAUCGGGAGGAAGGCCGGUGGCGAAGGCGGCGCUCUGGAACAUUUCUGACGCUGAGGCUCGAAGGCCAGGGGGGCAAACGGG